This 253-nucleotide ribosomal RNA is filed under the name uncultured bacterium. RNAcentral's name for it is "partial 16S ribosomal RNA". It matches the Rfam family "Bacterial small subunit ribosomal RNA", at positions 524 to 776 of the family's 1533-position model. The record is from RNAcentral.
UACAGAGGUGGCAAGCGUUGUUCGGAAUUACUGGGCGUAAAGGGCGCGUAGGCGGCCUUCUAAGUCAGACGUGAAAUCCCCCGGCUUAACCUGGGAACUGCGUCUGAUACUGGGAGGCUUGAGUAUGGGAGAGGGAUGUAGAAUUCCAGGUGUAGCGGUGAAAUGCGUAGAUAUCUGGAGGAAUACCGGUGGCGAAGGCGGCAUCCUGGACCAUAACUGACGCUGAGGCGCGAAAGCUGGGGGAGCAAACGGG